GCAUUGUUCCAGUGAGCAGAUAAACGCACUCCCUCCCAUUAAACUCUCAGAAAUUCACGGGGCAGAGGCAGAAAUGACUGAGGUCACCGUGUCCAACCUGGUUCAAGACAAGGAUUUUCAUCUGUUCGUAAAACGGAAUUUUGAUGAUCCUGAAUCAUCAUGUUUUAUAUAUAACUGUAGCAAGGAUACUAUUAAUAGUAUUAACAUUGAACAUCAUUUAAAUAUUCAGAAGGAUUUUGAACAUUUUGGGUAUAUUGUAACACAAAAAGAGGAAUCACUAUGUACAUCACAAUGUUUUUUUGCAUAUUCAACUAAAAAGUAUAUUUUGACAACGUACCACUCAAUUGGUAGUGACAGCAAUAUAUAUGCCUUCUUUCAAUCUAAACAUGAUAUCUUAAUUUACAAAAUUCGUCAACCACCCAUUUUCUCUUGCGGUGAAAUUGAUUAUGCAUUACUUGAGUUACCAAAAGAUAGUUUUAUCCCUUGGAAUAUGGGACUGUUAGAUCAAAUUGAUGGGAAACCGGAAAAGGACAAGUUAGUCCAUUUCAAUGCAUAUAGGACAUUAAAAACAGCUCAUUCAAUUGAGGCAAAUGUUAUUGAAACCCCCAUAAGAAUGAAAAAUUACAUAAAUAAAUCAGAAUUUUUAAUUAACAAAUAUGGAAUUGAAGGUGAUAGUGGUGCCCCAGUUUUCGACAAAAACAAAGUUGUGGGAAUGUACCGUGGAUUUAUUCAUCAUUUUGGACGGUGCAUUAACAUUAUUGACAUUGACCAAGAUAUUAAAAGAAAACAAAAAAAGCAAAGCAAACCGAGCCUCCUGAUCAGUUUAGUAACACAAAUUUCAUCAUGGUUAUUUAUCUAAAAAAAUGAAAAAGAACUUGAAAGUAAAGCAUUUCGAACUCUUUAGGACUGCAUCAAUUUUCUAAGAAAUAUGAUAAUAAUGUUAAAAAUAAAUAAAGAACUGGCGACUUGCCCAUGUAAAUAAGAGUGUGUAAAAAGUGAAAAUAAUGUGAGUGAAUGGUGUGUGGGUGAUUGAUUGGAGAUGUGACCAUGCCAACAACCACUUAUACCGCUUGUACAAAAUUUCACAUCAAAUUAAUAAGAGCAGAAGUUGGCAAAGAAAAAACUUGCAAAAGACCAGCCGUUGUACACCCUGGCACAUUCAUUUCUGCCUCUGGAAUUUCUCCAGAAGGACAACUUGCCCCCAUGUUUGCCUGCAUGAGAGAGAGAGAGGGUACUUUCAGCACAGCCUGGAUCUACUUCCAUGGAACCAAUGCGUUUGCCUGUGAGGACUGAACUUGUGGCAGUGACACCACUUUUGUGAGAAGCAACAAAGAGGAGAAAAUGCAAAACAAAGUGUGGAAUAUCCUGAAAAAGACCAAGCGCAUGACCUCACAGACCAAGCGGAUGACCUCACAGACCAAGCACAUGACCUCACAGACCAAGUGCAUGACCUCACAGACCAGGAUGACAACAUCGGGACCAGGCUGAGAACACGGAAGCAGGCUUAAAUGGGGAUAUGUUGUCCUUCUGCACCCCCCAAUAAAAACAAUAAAAGAUGAACUGAUA
This is a long non-coding RNA of Conger conger (European conger), 1566 nucleotides long. RefSeq lists it as uncharacterized. The record is from RefSeq and is a predicted model, not a curated record. The transcript has 5 exons. Lineage: Eukaryota; Metazoa; Chordata; Actinopteri; Anguilliformes; Congridae.